AUGCUCCUCUGCCACCGCAUCCUCCCUCGCCUCCUCUCCCUCCCCUCCAGCGCCACCUCGAAACUCCUCAUCCGCCCCUCCCGCCUCCCUCCUCGCCGCCCCUUCCUGCCUCGCUGCGCCGUGCUCUCUCAGCUUGCGGCCCCCCAAACUGUAGACCACGCCGACGCCGAAGAAUCCGCUGACCACCUCGACGCCGAAGAGCCGCAGGAGCCCCAGGAGCCGCAGGAGGUGCUGGUAAAGCUCCCCCUCGACCGGCUCUUCCUGCCACCGGGGGCGAGCGUGACCCCGGGGGACGAGGAGGUCGUGACCGCGCGUGUCCUCAAGGGUUCCAACAUCGUGCUGGGCACGUACGCGCGGGGCGAUGCGCAGGUGGUUAACGCGGAUUUCAUAAAGAGCAGCGUGCGACCCGAUGACUGCCCCAGGGAUGGGCUGCCCGAGUUCGCGCUCGUCGGCCGCUCCAACGUCGGCAAGUCGUCACUGCUCAACUCGCUCGUCCGCCGCAAGCGCCUCGCGCUCACCUCCAAGAAACCUGGCAAGACCCAGUGUAUCAAUCAUUUUAAAAUAAAUGACAGUUGGUACCUUGUUGACUUGCCUGGUUAUGGAUAUGCUUCAGCACCACAGGUAGCUCGUAAAGAUUGGGAUGAGUUUACUAGAAAUUACUUCCUUAGCAGGGAUAAUCUGGUGUCAGUUUUUCUCCUUAUAGAUGCAAGUAUUCCUGCUAAGAAGAUUGAUCUUGACUAUGCUAGUUGGCUUGGGCAAAACAAGGUCCCAAUGACCCUCGUGUUCACAAAGUGCGACAAGCGCAAGAAGAAGAAAAAUGGCGGCAAGAGACCGGAAGAAAACGUAGAAUGCUUCCAGAGUCUGAUUCGCGAAUAUUUUGAGGCGGCGCCUCCGUGGAUAAUGACGAGCAGCGUAACGAACCAAGGCAGAGACGAGAUACUUCUGCACAUGUCUCAGCUCAGAAACUAUUGGCGCAAGCAUUAA
Molecule: ribosomal RNA, 984 nt
Filed under: Triticum aestivum (bread wheat)
Lineage: Eukaryota; Viridiplantae; Streptophyta; Magnoliopsida; Poales; Poaceae
Description: partial small subunit ribosomal RNA
Source: RNAcentral